RNAcentral lists this ribosomal RNA (372 nucleotides) under uncultured bacterium. Its description in RNAcentral is "bacterial SSU rRNA". It matches the Rfam family "Bacterial small subunit ribosomal RNA", at positions 917 to 1289 of the family's 1533-position model. The record is from RNAcentral.
GGGCCCGCACAAGCGGUGGAGCAUGUGGUUUAAUUCGAUGAUACGCGAGGAACCUUACCAGGGCUUAAAUGUAGUGGGACAGGUCUAGAGAUAGACCCUUCUUCGGACUCAUUACAAGGUGCUGCAUGGUUGUCGUCAGCUCGUGCCGUGAGGUGUCAGGUUAAGUCCUAUAACGAGCGCAACCCCCUAUCGUUAGUUGCCAGCGAGUAAUGUCGGGAACUCUAACGAAACUGCCAGUGCAAACUGUGAGGAAGGUGGGGAUGACGUCAAAUCAUCACGGCCCUUACGUCCUGGGCUACACACGUGCUACAAUGGCCGGUACAGAGAGCAGCCACUUCGCAAGAAGGAGCGAAUCUAUUAAAACCCGGUCUC